AGAAUUGCAGCCGGGUGUUCAAUCCCCCUCCACACGUGCGGUGAGGGGGGGGAUUGAUCUGAGAAAUACCGGUGAACUUGAUCUGGAUAAUGCCAGCGAAAGGAUCUGCUUCUUGAAGACCC
This 122-nucleotide non-coding RNA is filed under the name Moelleriella libera. Its description in RNAcentral is "Aschersonia aleyrodis TPP sequence". It matches the Rfam family "TPP riboswitch aptamer (THI element)". Rfam says of the family: Vitamin B(1) in its active form thiamin pyrophosphate (TPP) is an essential coenzyme that is synthesised by coupling of pyrimidine and thiazole moieties in bacteria. Lineage: Eukaryota; Fungi; Ascomycota; Sordariomycetes; Hypocreales; Clavicipitaceae. The record is from RNAcentral. RNAcentral also lists the same sequence under 1 other name.